GUGAUUUAUGGCAAUGUUACGGAGGUUGAGUCGGCAAGAUUUAGAUACUGAUUGGAUAUGGGGCUGACAGGAGAGCUCAGAAUCAAGGAUUACUCCGAGCACCCUGGAUUGACGGGGAGGCACAUUGUUUUGUUGUGCACUGUG
Molecule: long non-coding RNA, 144 nt
Organism: Nanorana parkeri
Lineage: Eukaryota; Metazoa; Chordata; Amphibia; Anura; Dicroglossidae
Exons: 3
Source: RefSeq, a predicted model, not a curated record